Molecule: ribosomal RNA, 279 nt
Filed under: uncultured bacterium
Lineage: Bacteria
Description: partial 16S ribosomal RNA
Rfam family: Bacterial small subunit ribosomal RNA
Source: RNAcentral
UGCCAUCCGCCGCGGUAAUAUGAAGGUCCCAAGCGUUGUUCGGAAUCACUGGGCGUAGAGCGUGUGUAGGCUGCGCGGAAAGUCAAAUGUGAAAGCACCGGGCUCAACCUGGGAACUGCAUUCGAUACUGGCAGACUAGAGUGCGGGAGAGGGAGGUAGAAUUCCAUGUGUAGCGGUGAAAUGCGUAGAUAUGUGGAGGAAUACCAGUGGCGAAGGCGGCCUCCUGGCUCGACACUGACACUGAGGCGCGAAAGCGUGGGGAGCAAACCGGAUUAGAUA